Molecule: long non-coding RNA, 526 nt
Filed under: Cricetulus griseus (Chinese hamster)
Lineage: Eukaryota; Metazoa; Chordata; Mammalia; Rodentia; Cricetidae
Description: lncRNA (ENSCGRG00000026367.1)
Source: RNAcentral
GAAGAACUUGUCCAGGCUCUCCCAUCUAUUCCUCCUACCUGAUUCUUGGCAGGUGUCAGGAACACUGUCUGGUGGCAUUGACCUCAUUGUUUAUUCCAAAUCCUUAAUGAGAGUCAUCUUUCUCAUCUCUCUAUUUCUCCUACCAGAUCUGACAUCUCCAUCCACCUUUCCACCGUGGCAUCAAAUCACUUUCUGCCUGUUGAUAGGACUCUUGUUUACAAUAGACACGGUGAUGUAUUUCUCCGUGCAGAAGGGUCUUCGAAGGUCAACGGCAGACUAUGAGGAACCCGAGGUGCACUGGAGCAAGGAACCUGAGAAUAAGACCAUCUCAGAGGAAAAGCAAAGCUUCAGAUCUUCAAGGGCCAACAGUGAAACACCAGAGAAUAGGUAGCUGCCUUCCCGAGAAGUGAUGCCUCAGAGUUUGAUGCUUUCCCUGUCCCAAACACUCCCUCAUUGCAAAGCAGCAGCCUGGGCUCUGGGUGGUGACUCUUUCUGUGCUUAACAACUGUUCCUAAGUAAACUUCUG